Molecule: long non-coding RNA, 692 nt
Organism: Cervus elaphus (red deer)
Lineage: Eukaryota; Metazoa; Chordata; Mammalia; Artiodactyla; Cervidae
Exons: 3
Source: RefSeq, a predicted model, not a curated record
UGUGAGUGUCUUAGUGUUAGAAAUUAAGAGUGUUACUUUAGAUAAGAAUUUUGUUUGGUAAUCUGCAGAAAGACUUCAUUGGAACAGAAGGAACGCUGGAUAGAGACAAGACUCCCUGUGGUGUAAUCAUUAUACCCUACUGGUGGACUCCUUAAAAUAAGACUAUAGAUUGUCUAAGCAGGGGAUGCAGGUUCGGUCCUGGUCAGAGAAUUUAGAUCACAUCUGCUGUGGAGCAACUAAGCUCGCACGCCACAACUAGAGAGUCUGUGCACCAUAAUGAAAGAUCCCAUGUGCUGCAACUUAAGACUUAACAUAGCCAAAUAAAUAAAUUUUUUUUUUUUAAAAAGAAGGUCUUUGAGUCAGGUGACUUGAAAGCUCUUUGCUGGAGGACCAGAUUCUAGUCUGCUGAGAGCUGUUCAUACCAAAACUGCCAGAGACUGUUGGAGUAGAGGGUGACUGCUCACUCAGGCUUGUUGUGAGACCUGUUGAGUGAUUGGGGAUCACUGCUGAGAUGCCUCCUUCUAGGGACUUCCCCUUGGAGUGAAUAGGACACUGUGGCUGAUCAUCUUAAUCCCAGUUGGAGUUCUGAAACCUGGUUGCCUUUGACAUCUACUCACAAAAGGGCUACUCACAUAAGGAGAUCCUGAUAAGGAAUACGGAACUAAUAGGCCACCACCAGCCGGAAGAGUUCG